CAGCCGUAAACUAUGCGCGUUAGGUGUACUGGUGACCACGAGUCACCGGGGUGCCGAAGGGAAACCGUGAAACGUGCCGCCUGGGAAGUACGGUCGCAAGGCUGAAACUUAAAGGAAUUGGCGGGGAGCACCACGAACGGGUGGAGCCUGCGGUUUAAUUGGACUCAACGCCGGAAAUCUCACCGGAUAGGACAGACAUAUGAUAGUCGGGCUGAAGACUCUACUUGAUGAUCUGAGAGGUGGUGCAUGGGCGUCAGUGACU
RNAcentral lists this ribosomal RNA (262 nucleotides) under uncultured archaeon. RNAcentral describes it as "partial 16S ribosomal RNA". It matches the Rfam family "Archaeal small subunit ribosomal RNA", at positions 748 to 1009 of the family's 1478-position model. The record is from RNAcentral.